UACGAAUGGAGCAAGCGUUGUUCGGAAUCACUGGGCUUAAAGCGUGCGCAGGCGGUUUGUACAGUCAGAAGUGAAAGCCCUGGGCUCAACCCAGGAACUGCUUUUGAAACUCACAAACUAGAAUCCGGGAGAGGUUAGUAGAAUUCCUAGUGUAGAGGUGAAAUUCGCAGAUAUUAGGAGGAAUACCAGUGGCGAAGGCGACUAACUGGACCGGUAUUGACGCUCAGGUACGAAAGCGUGGGGAGCAAACAGG
RNAcentral lists this ribosomal RNA (253 nucleotides) under uncultured bacterium. RNAcentral's name for it is "partial 16S ribosomal RNA". It matches the Rfam family "Bacterial small subunit ribosomal RNA", at positions 524 to 776 of the family's 1533-position model. The record is from RNAcentral.